CUGGCUCAGGAUGAACGCUAGCGACAGGCUUAACACAUGCAAGUCGAGGGGCAGCGGGGGCGAAGCUUGCUUCGCCUGCCGGCGACCGGCGCACGGGUGAGUAACACGUAUGCGACCUGCCCCCCGCAGGGGGAUAACCGGGAGAAAUCCCGACUAAUACCGCGUAACGCCGCUGGGCUGCAUGGCCCGGCGGCCAAAGGAAGCGAUUCCGGCGGGGGAUGGGCAUGCGGCGCAUUAGCUAGUCGGCGGGGUAACGGCCCACCGAGGCGACGAUGCGUAGGGGUUCUGAGAGGAAGGUCCCCCACACUGGUACUGAGACACGGACCAGACUCCUACGGGAGGCAGCAGUGAGGAAUAUUGGUCAAUGGGCGGGAGCCUGAACCAGUCAAGUCGCGUGAGGGAAGACGGUCCUACGGAUUGUAAACCUCUUUUGCCGGGGAGCAACGGGGUCCUUGCGAGGGCCCGAUGAGAGUACCCGGAGAAAAAGCAUCGGCUAACUCCGUGCCAGCAGCCGCGGUAAUACGGAGGAUGCGAGCGUUAUCCGGAUUUAUUGGGUUUAAAGGGUGCCGUAGGCGGGCUGUUAAGUCAGCGGUCAAAUGUCGGGGCUCAACCCCGGCCUGCCGUUGAAACUGGCGGCCUCGAGUGGGCGAGAAGUAUGCGGAAUGCGUGGUGUAGCGGUGAAAUGCAUAGAUAUCACGCAGAACUCCGAUUGCGAAGGCAGCAUACCGGCGCCCGACUGACGCUGAGGCACGAAAGCGUGGGUAUCGAACAGGAUUAGAUACCCUGGUAGUCCACGCAGUAAACGAUGAAUGCUAGCUGUCCGGUUCUACGGGACUGGGUGGCACAGCGAAAGCGUUAAGCAUUCCACCUGGGGAGUACGCCGGCAACGGUGAAACUCAAAGGAAUUGACGGGGGCCCGCACAAGCGGAGGAACAUGUGGUUUAAUUCGAUGAUACGCGAGGAACCUUACCCGGGCUCAAACGCCAAAGGACAGCCGCUGAAAGGCGGCCUCCCUCCGGGGUCUUUGGCGAGGUGCUGCAUGGUUGUCGUCAGCUCGUGCCGUGAGGUGUCGGCUUAAGUGCCAUAACGAGCGCAACCCCCAUCGACAGUUGCUAACGGGUGAUGCCGAGGACUCUGUCGAGACUGCCGGCGCAAGCUGCGAGGAAGGCGGGGAUGACGUCAAAUCAGCACGGCCCUUACGUCCGGGGCGACACACGUGUUACAAUGGCCGGUACAGCGGGAUGCCAGGGCGCGAGCCCGAGCGGAACCCGAAAACCGGUCUCAGUUCGGAUUGGAGUCUGCAACCCGACUCCAUGAAGCUGGAUUCGCUAGUAAUCGCGCAUCAGCCACGGCGCGGUGAAUACGUUCCCGGGCCUUGCACUCACCGCCCGUCAAG
RNAcentral lists this ribosomal RNA (1396 nucleotides) under uncultured bacterium. RNAcentral's name for it is "bacterial SSU rRNA". It matches the Rfam family "Bacterial small subunit ribosomal RNA". The record is from RNAcentral.